ACGUAGGGGGCAAGCGUUAUCCGGAAUUAUUGGGCGUAAAGAGUGCGUAGGUGGUUUUUUAAGCGUGAGGUGAAAGGCAAUAGCUUAACUAUUGUAAGCCUUGCGAACUGGAAGACUUGAGUGCAGGAGAGGAAAGUGGAAUUCCUAGUGUAUCGGUUUAAUGCGUGUAGAUUAGAAGGAACACCAUUGGCGAAGGCGACAUUCUGGACUGUAACUGACACUGAGGCAGCAAAGCGUGGGCAGCAAACAG
RNAcentral lists this ribosomal RNA (250 nucleotides) under uncultured prokaryote. RNAcentral describes it as "partial 16S rRNA". It matches the Rfam family "Bacterial small subunit ribosomal RNA", at positions 525 to 775 of the family's 1533-position model. The record is from RNAcentral.